Molecule: ribosomal RNA, 1447 nt
Filed under: uncultured bacterium
Lineage: Bacteria
Description: bacterial SSU rRNA
Rfam family: Bacterial small subunit ribosomal RNA
Source: RNAcentral
GAGUUUGAUCUUGGCUCAGAACGAACGCUGGCGGCAGACCUAACACAUGCAAGUCGAACGCUCUUUAUGGGAGUGGCGCACGGGUGAGUAACGCGUGGGAAUGUACCUUUCAGUAUGGAAUAACAGUUGGAAACGACUGCUAAUACCGUAUACGCCCUUAGGGGGAAAGAUUUAUCGCUGAAAGAUCAGCCCGCGUCAGAUUAGCUAGUUGGUGAGGUAAUGGCUCACCAAGGCCUUGAUCUGUAGCUGGUCUGAGAGGAUGAUCAGCCACACUGGGACUGAGACACGGCCCAGACUCCUACGGGAGGCAGCAGUGGGGAAUAUUGGACAAUGGAGGAAACUCUGAUCCAGCCAUGCCGCGUGAGUGAUGAAGGCCUUAGGGUUGUAAAACUCUUUCAGCGGGGAAGAUGAUGACGGUACCCGCAGAAGAAGCUCCGGCUAACUUCGUGCCAGCAGCCGCGGUAAUACGAAGGGGGCUAGCGUUGUUCGGAAUCACUGGGCGUAAAGCGGGCGCAGGUGGCCUAUCAAGUCAGGGGUGAAAUCCCAGAACUCAACUCUGGAAUUGCCUCUGAAACUGGUAGGCUUGAGUAUUGGAGGGGAUAGCGGAAUUCCUAAUGUAGUGGUGAAAUACGUAGAUAUUAGGAGGAACACCGGUGGCGAAGGCGGCUAUCUGGACAAUUACUGACACUGAGGCCCGAAAGCGUGGGGAGCAAACAGGAUUAGAUACCCUGGUAGUCCACGCCGUAAACGAUGAGUGCUAGCCGUUGGGGGGUUACCCUUCAGUGGCGCAGUUAACGCAUUAAGCACUCCGCCUGGGGAGUACGGUCGCAAGAUUAAAACUCAAAGGAAUUGACGGGGACCCGCACAAGCGGUGGAACAUGUGGUUUAAUUCGAGGCAACGCGAAGAACCUUACCAGGGCUUGACUUGCCCGUCGCGGACUCCCGAAAAGGAGUCCUUCAGUUCGGCUGGACGGUGCACAGGUGCUGCAUGGCUGUCGUCGGCUCGUGUCGUGAGAUGUUGGGUUAAGUCCCGCAACGAGCGCAACCCUCAUCCUCUGUUGCUAACAGGUAAUGCUGAGAACUCUGAGGAAACUGCCCGUGAUAAGCGGGAGGAAGGUGGGGAUGACGUCAAGUCCUCAUGGCCCUUACGCCCUGGCUACACACGUGUUACAAUGGCAGUUACAGUGGGCUGCAAACUCGCGAGAGUGAGCUAAUCUCCAAAAACUGCCUCAGUUCGGAUUGUUCUCUGCAACUCGAGAGCAUGAAGUCGGAAUCGCUAGUAAUCGUAGAUCAGCAUGCUACGGUGAGUACGUUCCCGGGUCUUGUACACACCGCCCGUCACACCAUGGGAGUCGGUUCUGCCUUAAGCCGCUGGGCUAACCUUUUAGGAGGCAAGCGUCCACGGCAGGGUCGGCGACUGGGGUGAAGUCGUAACAAGGUAACCGUA